UGCAGGUCGAGCGGGCGUAGCAUACGUCAGCGGCAGACGGGUGAGUAACGCGUGGGAACGUACCUUUUGGUUCGGAACAACACAGGGAAACUUGUGCUAAUACCGAAUAAGCCCUUACGGGGAAAGAUUUAUCGCCGAAAGAUCGGCCCGCGUCUGAUUAGCUAGUUGGUGAGGUAACGGCUCACCAAGGCGACGAUCAGUAGCUGGUCUGAGAGGAUGAUCAGCCACAUUGGGACUGAGACACGGCCCAAACUCCUACGGGAGGCAGCAGUGGGGAAUAUUGGACAAUGGGCGCAAGCCUGAUCCAGCCAUGCCGCGUGAGUGAUGAAGGCCCUAGGGUUGUAAAGCUCUUUUGUGCGGGAAGAUAAUGACGGUACCGCAAGAAUAAGCCCCGGCUAACUUCGUGCCAGCAGCCGCGGUAAUACGAAGGGGGCUAGCGUUGCUCGGAAUCACUGGGCGUAAAGGGUGCGUAGGCGGGUCUUUAAGUCAGGGGUGAAAUCCUGGAGCUCAACUCCAGAACUGCCUUUGAUACUGAAGAUCUUGAGUUCGGGAGAGGUGAGUGGAACUGCGAGUGUAGAGGUGAAAUUCGUAGAUAUUCGCAAGAACACCAGUGGCGAAGGCGGCUCACUGGCCCGAUACUGACGCUGA
This 648-nucleotide ribosomal RNA is filed under the name uncultured bacterium. RNAcentral describes it as "bacterial SSU rRNA". It matches the Rfam family "Bacterial small subunit ribosomal RNA", at positions 56 to 749 of the family's 1533-position model. The record is from RNAcentral.